AGGUGAAAAGCUAUUUGUUAGCAUGUAGUUUCGGCCUACAAGUUGGCCUAAGAUAAUAGGCUUCACCUA
This 69-nucleotide transfer RNA is filed under the name Polyplax asiatica. Its description in RNAcentral is "tRNA-Arg". Lineage: Eukaryota; Metazoa; Arthropoda; Insecta; Psocodea; Polyplacidae. The record is from RNAcentral.